RNAcentral lists this ribosomal RNA (433 nucleotides) under Margattea nimbata. RNAcentral's name for it is "partial 16S ribosomal RNA". The record is from RNAcentral. Lineage: Eukaryota; Metazoa; Arthropoda; Insecta; Blattodea; Pseudophyllodromiidae.
CUUUUUUUGUAUUGGUUUAAAAAUAUAACCUGCCCACUGAUAAGUUUGAAGGGCCGCGGUAAUUUGACCGUGCAAAGGUAGCAUAAUCAUUAGUUUUUUAAUUGAAGGCUGGAAUGAAUGGUUGGACGAGAUAUAAGCUGUCUUAAAUUAUAUUGGUAAUUGAAUUUAAAUUUUAAGUAAGAAUGCUUAAAUUUUUUUGUGGGACGAGAAGACCCUAUAGAAUUUGAUAUUAUAAUUAUAUUGGUUGUUUGUAAAUAAUAAUAUAUAUUAUAAUAUUUAGUUGGGGUGAUUAUAAAAUAUAAAAAACUUUUUGUUUAUAUACACAUAUAUUAAUGGUUAUGAGAUCCAUUAUUUGGUGAUUAUAAGUUUAAAUUACCUUAGGGAUAACAGCGUAAUUUUUUUUACGAGUUCUUAUUGACAAGAAAGAUUGCGA